Long non-coding RNA from Syngnathus acus (greater pipefish), 2770 nucleotides. RefSeq lists it as uncharacterized. Lineage: Eukaryota; Metazoa; Chordata; Actinopteri; Syngnathiformes; Syngnathidae. The transcript is spliced from 5 exons. The record is from RefSeq and is a predicted model, not a curated record.
CUCAAAGGCCAUUAGGUUACGUCCGUGGAAGAUGGGGAUGAUAAUAAGGAAGACCAGGAACAAGAAGCAGAUGAAAAACACCACAGUCUGGAUCACCAUACCUGCCAGGAUAGCACAAACAUACAGACAAUUGCUGCUUGGUAUCCAGUCAAGCCCAUCCAACAGACAACACCAGAUUUCGAUGGACGGAGGUUCUUCUGGCUCUUGUAGAGGUUGUAAAUGUCUCCCUUGUACAGUCCCCACAGGUUGGACCUUAAACACAGAGCACAAGGGCCAUUUUCAUCCACUGAGGCCAUUUCACAAACCCAUUUAUUGACUGGUUCAUGAAGCAAAUUUGAAGCUUCAUUUUCCCAUCACUGGAUACAAUACAAUAAUUUCUUGGUAGAUUAGAAAUGUACUACCUGUGAAGCACCAUGGUCCUCAUGAGCAUGACCAGACUGACCAUGCAAGACAGGGUCAUUGCACAAAGGUAGCAGACUGAAAAAAAACCACACAGGAUUGAUCAAAACGUAAUUCAUUACCUCUAGCAAUCAAGAUGUAAUUUCGUUAGAAUGUCCCAAACCUUCCAGCAGCCAAGUAUAGAAAGUGACAAUUUUGACAACCUCCAUUCUAUCAUCAGAGAGGAUAAUCCCAAAUCCCAGUAAGAGGAAGGCGAUGUUCUCAUCAAUACCGGCACGGACAAUAUGAAGAGUUGGGACAACCAAUACAACUAAUAAAAGGGCUGUCUGAAAGACAAAAUGCUCUACUGUAAGGCAAACAGACUUUUAAUCCCAAGUAACAUUAUAGAGAAUUCAAUAAUUUGAGUACAUGGUCAUAAAAUGUGUCAUGAUGUUAGCUCACUCACAUGGUAGAUGGCCACCAAAGCCACAAAGACUGACACAGCCAAUUUUAGAGGAAAACGAAACACUGAAAGCGAGAUAAUAACAAAUUAGUUCAAUAAAAUGUUGCAGUAUCUCUGAAGUGAAGGGUGCACACCUUUUUCUGGGAUAUAAAUAUAACUCUUAGCCACAUCCAGCAGUCUCCUCACCAGUGUUGCUUUGUCGGAUGAGGACGAACUACACAAUUAAAAAAUAAUAAUAAUAAUUAAUCACAGCUUUCCAAGUUUUUAACCAGCAAUGUAGUGAAUUUAAGAAGAGCUGGUUUUAUUUGGCCCUUGAAACGUCCAUUCUGCCUUCAAAUGGCGAAAUCACAUUUGGAUCAGUAAAAUGCCGAACCAGCAAAAAUGGUUUCCAUUCACCUGAUUGCUGCUGGCUUCUUCUUUUUGAGAAGACCUUUUACAUAGUCACUGUAGUAACAGCUAUCCAGGUCCUGGAAGAGAAAUACUUUCAAACAAUAUUCUAUUAUCCUAUCACUGUAUGCUAGCAAAAUUGGAUGUUGAAACGAAACCUUGGAUUGAUAUUCUUAGCACAUGUGAGGAAGAAAAAAAAACAUCAGAGGUCUUGGAUAAUCCGCUCAAAGAUGCAGAGUAAUGUUCACAAAAAGCUCUUUAUUCUAAUCAUGAACGUGAUGCCUAACGUUGCACAAAUACAUGUUGUUCAGCAUCGCGUUUUAUGUCCCUUCUAGCUCAUUGUUAGAAAAAGAGAAGGUGAGAUUUGAGACAAACAUUUCUCACCUCUUCAGUCUUUGUUCCUCUGAUAAACAGCAAAGCAAACUGGACGCAAAGAUACGCCAGGCAAGCUAGCUGAGGCAAAGUCGCUAGCAAAGAGUAGAACUUAUACAGCUGGAAAAGAAACAAAUUGAUCAGAUGGUGAACAUAAACAAAUAUACUGAACGCAAAUUACCUCUGGAGUCUUUGGGCAGUCCAACUUUUGCCACAACUGGAUACCAAAAUGGCCGCCGGAGAGUAAAACCCCAAACACAUAACCGGCCUUAUGCUGUAGAGUGCUACAAACCAUCAGAGGGUAGUAGAGAACCGGAUAGUAGAAGAUGGCUGUUAUCUUCAUGAACUCUGAUUAAAUAUGGAGAUUAAAUCAAUGUAUCCUUUCUUGUUUCAUGUUUGUCCACUUGAGAUUUUGAUGUUUCUGGGCACCUUUGAUUUCAGCCGGAGUGUCCUUGGAGAAGGGCAACGGAUCGGGUGCAAUCACCAGCACGGCCAGUUUGCUGAACAGAAGUCCAAAGACAGCCAUCGCCACACCUUUGCUCUGUGUCUGGUCCAGGAAGUUGGUUGGACUACGAGAUGAGAGCCAAGAUGUUACCUGGCCGCUUGACUGGGGUAGUGCGAGCGGAUAUGUUGUCCCAGCAUUACGUGCGACUGAUCCUGAAGGUUCUCCACUUGUUCUGGAUCUUUUAGACCACGGGUCUCUGAGGACAACAAGAAGGAGUCGUUUCCUCACCAGGCUUAAAGAGCACAAUGGCCUUGAGGCAAGCGAACUCCGUGGGGUCGACGGCGAGUGCCUUAAAGCGACUGAAGACCUCCUGGAGGAGUCUCAGGUCCAGGCUGGUGUAGCUGGUCUUGCCCUGCGUACCCGGGCACAGGUCUGGCAAGGAGAGCAAGGGGCAGCUGUCCAGCGGCAGAGACCACUGGAUUGCACACAAGAGGAAGAGCUCGCUCCAUGCCUCCUCGAGUAGGAUCACCUGAAAGGCUUGGCGCAAGUCUCGGCCGUCAUGAGGCUGGCCAUGAAGCGGUGGUUGUUAUGUGGGCUGACGCAGCGUUGCGGGGGCACCGAGGAGGUGAUGGCGACGGACGAGGUGAUGUGGGGCCACGUGAUGACCGAGCCACUUGAGGAGGAGGACGAGGAAGAGGAGGAAGAGGAACAGGUGGGCUCCCGUG